AAGUCGUAACAAGGUUUCCGUAGGUGAACCUGCGGAAGGAUCAUUACCAAAUCCAAAUACCCAACCCCAUGUGAAUUAUUGUAUAGUCUGUCUUUGGGAGAAAAAGAAGGAGAAAUCUGGACUUUUCUCCCAAUAGAGUCCGGCAUAACUUUUUGUUAUGUCCAGAUUCGAAACCCUUUAAACCACUUGAUUUUUCUGUUGGAAUUACUUUUAUUAAUUUUAAAUAAAAGACAACUUUUAACGGUGGAUCUCUUGGCUCGUG
RNAcentral lists this unclassified non-coding RNA (262 nucleotides) under fungal sp. Its description in RNAcentral is "partial internal transcribed spacer region". The stretch from base 1 to 46 matches the Rfam family "Eukaryotic small subunit ribosomal RNA", at positions 1786 to 1831 of the family's 1831-position model. The record is from RNAcentral. Lineage: Eukaryota; Fungi.